Molecule: long non-coding RNA, 850 nt
Organism: Populus trichocarpa (black cottonwood)
Lineage: Eukaryota; Viridiplantae; Streptophyta; Magnoliopsida; Malpighiales; Salicaceae
Exons: 5
Source: RefSeq, a predicted model, not a curated record
UUUAAAAAUGUAUUUAGUUAUUAUUGAUAUUUUUUUUAUUAAUAAAUAUAUUUUUAAUUUAUUUAAUUAGGUGUGUGCAUAAAUAUUUUUAUUUAAAUUUAUAUAUAUCAAAUGGAGAGCAAAGGCCUCUGACAUGGCGGUGUUCGGUUCAGUUUUCUGCUGUUUCCCAACAACAAGAUGAACUUCAGCAAGAAGAAGAUAAAGUCACUCACCUCUUCCAGGAAGCCUCACCAUCAGUUGUUUUUAGCAAGGACCUUCAGUUAGCUAAAGUCCCCAACAGUCCUUUGGUCUAGUUACGCUUACAGAGGCUGAGAAUGCUAAAGUUGAAGUAACAGGCAACAAAUUACCAUGCUGUAGCUAAAUUGGCCACAGAUAGAAGCAGAUUUACAGCACUUUAUUCUAGUUGAUGCUGGAGGCAAUAGCUUGUACAGGGAAGGCAAGAUCAUUGGUUUUGUUCCAUCUUAUUAACUGGCUGUCCUUAAGCAAGGUUUGGAAAUGCAUGCUGUUUUGUCACCUGCAGGCUGAUGUUGAAGGAUAUGAAUUGAAGCCUGUUGCUCUUGGUACUUCUAGGGAAUUACAUGUGGAUCAAAGCUGCUUUGCAAUUGGGAAUCCUUAUGAAUAUUAAAACACUCUAACAAUAGUGAUAACUCCUUCAGUAACACAUCUGUUACUUAGACUGUUUUCAGGACAAUGGUCAAUAUCUACUUGUAAGUUCACGUGACUGUAAGCAAACAUCAAAUAGAAACACCCAAGCCUUUUUCUUUGCAGCUCAAAUUUUUUAUUUAGGCAAUGAUAUUAUUGACUAUGUUAAGCAUUAUUUAAGAGCAAUAGCUGUUCACUUGUUCUUCUC